AUGUUAUUUAUGUUUUAUUCAGCUUUGAACCCAUCACUAUUUUCUGAGCUCCUGAACUCAAUUGAGCACCUCAAUGGGACUAACUUUCCUACAUGGAAGGAGCAGAUUUUCAUUAACCUUGGAGUCAUGGAUCUUGACUACGCACUUAGGGAGAAGGCUCCAGUUCCCUUGUCCUCUGAUGAUGAAAACCUUGCUCGGAAAACUAAGGUUUAUGAGGCUAACAAGGAGGAGUGGGAGCGCUCCGAUCGAUUGUCCCUCAUGAUCAUGAAAAGUAUAAUUACUCUUGGGGUUAGGGGAGCUAUUCCCGAUUCUGAAUGUGCUAAGACUUAUCUGGCAUCGGUGGAGGAACAGUUUAAAGACUCCACAAAAGUCUAUGUCAGUACGCUGAUCAUGAAAAUGCUCACGACUAAGUGUGAUGGUGCAAGCGCUGUGAGAGAACAUAUCAUGACUAUGAACGAUAUGGCCGCAAAAUUAAAGGGCAUGGACAUGGAGAUUUCUGAGGGCUUUUUGGUUCAUUUCAUUAUGACUUCCCUUCCUCUGGAGUUUGGUCCAUUCAAGAUCAACUAUAACACACAGGAGAAGUGGAUCAUGGGUGAGCUCACGGCUAUGUGCGUUCAAGAAGAAGAGCGACUUGAGAUAGAGAGAAAAGAUUACGCUCAUCUUACUUCCAUGAACGAGUCAAUAAAACCACCACAUUGA
This 699-nucleotide ribosomal RNA is filed under the name Triticum aestivum (bread wheat). RNAcentral's name for it is "partial small subunit ribosomal RNA". Lineage: Eukaryota; Viridiplantae; Streptophyta; Magnoliopsida; Poales; Poaceae. The record is from RNAcentral.